CUUGAUACAUGCAGUCGAGCGAAUGGAUUAAGAGCUUGCUCUUAUGAAGUUAGCGGCGGACGGGUGAGUAACACGUGGGUAACCUGCCCAUAAGACUGGGAUAACUCCGGGAAACCGGGGCUAAUACCGGAUAACAUUUUGAACCGCAUGGUUCGAAAUUGAAAGGCGGCUUCGGCUGUCACUUAUGGAUGGACCCGCGUCGCAUUAGCUAGUUGGUGAGGUAACGGCUCACCAAGGCAACGAUGCGUAGCCGACCUGAGAGGGUGAUCGGCCACACUGGGACUGAGACACGGCCCAGACUCCUACGGGAGGCAGCAGUAGGGAAUCUUCCGCAAUGGACGAAAGUCUGACGGAGCAACGCCGCGUGAGUGAUGAAGGCUUUCGGGUCGUAAAACUCUGUUGUUAGGGAAGAACAAGUGCUAGUUGAAUAAGCUGGCACCUUGACGGUACCUAACCAGAAAGCCACGGCUAACUACGUGCCAGCAGCCGCGGUAAUACGUAGGUGGCAAGCGUUAUCCGGAAUUAUUGGGCGUAAAGCGCGCGCAGGUGGUUUCUUAAGUCUGAUGUGAAAGCCCACGGGCUCAACCGUGGAGGGGUCAUUGGAAACUGGGAGACUUGAGUGCAGAAGAGGAAAGUGGAAUUUCCAUGUGUAGCGGUGAAAUGCGUAGAGGAUAUGGAGGGAACACCAGUGGCGAAGGCGACUUUUCUGGUCUGUACCUGACACUGAGGCGCGAAAGCGUGGGGAAGCAAACAGGAUUAGAUACCCUGGAAUCCUCGCCGUAAACGAUGAGUGCUAGUGUUAAAGGGCUUCCUGCCCCUUUAGUGCUGAAGUUAACGCAUUUAA
RNAcentral lists this ribosomal RNA (844 nucleotides) under Bacillus cereus. RNAcentral describes it as "bacterial SSU rRNA". It matches the Rfam family "Bacterial small subunit ribosomal RNA", at positions 47 to 864 of the family's 1533-position model. The record is from RNAcentral. Lineage: Bacteria; Bacillati; Bacillota; Bacilli; Caryophanales; Bacillaceae.